GGGGCGAUCGAUCUUUCCUCCUCCUCUUAGCCAUUUUGGGUAGUGAAGCCACCACCACAAAUUUACCCAUCCAAUCCCUCUGUUGUUGCCGUCGCUCCUGAAAUUAAGCUCAAGCUUUUUCUUUAGUUCCUGUUAAUGUCAAUUAAAUGUUCUCCCCUCCAAAUGAUGAUGAUUAUUCUGAUGAUGAUGAUGAUGAUUAUUCUGAUGAUGAUGAUGAUGAUGAUACAGUAUGGGCUGUUAAAAAUGCAAUUUCUUGUUCCGAAUUUGAUCUGCUAGGAAUUGUAGGGAGACGAUGAGAUGACGACAGGAGAAGCUUCUUGGAUGCCGAGGCGGAUUCGGCCGGAUCGCCACCAUGGAUAUAAAAUAUAAAAAUGGAACAAAUUUUUGAACGGGGGGACCAGAGCAGCCAACUUUAAUCGGAGCCCUCUC
RNAcentral lists this long non-coding RNA (429 nucleotides) under Triticum aestivum (bread wheat). RNAcentral's name for it is "long non-coding RNA (TAES_LNC010810)". The record is from RNAcentral. Lineage: Eukaryota; Viridiplantae; Streptophyta; Magnoliopsida; Poales; Poaceae.